UCAAGCGGUUAAGCGCAUACGGUGGAUGCCUAGGCGAUAAGAGGCGAUGAAAGACGUUGUAGCAUGCGAUAAGCCUCGGGGAGCUUGCAAACUAGCUUUGAUCCGAGGAUUUCUGAAUGGGGAAACCCACCUGUUUACAGGUAUCAAUAACUGAAUACAUAGGUUAUUUGAGGCGAACCCGGGGAACUGAAACAUCUAAGUACCCGGAGGAAAAGAAAUCAACCGAGAUUCCCUUAGUAGCGGCGAGCGAACGGGGACCAGCCCUUAAGCGUAUAAAUAUCUAACUGAACAGAUACUGGAAAGUCUGACCACAGAAGGUGAUAGUCCUGUAAGUGAAAGAUGUUAAUACGUGAAAUCGAGUAAGGCGGAGCACGAGAAACUCUGUCUGAACAUGGGGGGACCAUCCUCCAAGGCUAAAUACUCCUUAUCGACCGAUAGUGAACUAGUACCGUGAGGGAAAGGCGAAAAGAACCCCUGUUAGGGGAGUGAAAUAGAACCUGAAACCGUAUGCGUACAAGCAGUGGGAGCACCCUUCGGGGUGUGACUGCGUACCUUUUGUAUAAUGGGUCAGCGACUUAAUUUUAGUAGCAAGGUUAACCGCAUAGGGGAGCCGUAGAGAAAUCGAGUCUUAAAAGGGCGUAUAGUUGCUAGGAUUAGACCCGAAACCGGGCGAUCUAGCCAUGGCCAGGUUGAAGGUCGGGUAAUACCGACUGGAGGACCGAACCAACUAAUGUUGAAAAAUUAGUGGAUGAGCUGUGGCUAGGAGUGAAAGGCUAAACAAGCCCGGAGAUAGCUGGUUCUCCCCGAAAUCUAUUUAGGUAGAGCCUCAUGUAUCACUUCAGGGGGUAGAGCACUGUAAUGGCUAGGGCUGCAUCUCGCGGUACCAACCCAUCGCAAACUCCGAAUACCUGAAAGUGCAAUCAUGGGAGACAGACGGCGGGAGAUAAGUUUCGUCGUCGAGAGGGCAACAGCCCAGACCACCAGCUAAGGUCCCUAAACACAUCUCAGUGGGAAACGAUGUGGGAAGGCUCAGACAGCCAGGAUGUUGGCUUAGAAGCAGCCAUCAUUUAAAGAAAGCGUAAUAGCUCACUGGUCGAGUCGGCCUGCGCGGAAGAUAUACCGGGGCUCAAGGUGUGUACCGAAGCUGUGGAUGCAUAUUUAUAUGCAUGGUAGGGGAGCGUUCUGUAAGUCUGCGAAGGUGGAUCGUAAGGUCUGCUGGAGAUAUCAGAAGUGCGAAUGCUGACAUGAGUAACGAUAAUGCGGGUGAAAAGCCCGCACGCCGAAAACCCAAGGUUUCCUGCGCAACGUUCAUCGGCGCAGGGUUAGUCGGUCCCUAAGGCGAGGCAGAAGUGCGUAGUCGAUGGGAAACAGGUUAAUAUUCCUGUACUUUUUAUAGCUGCGAUGGGGUGACGGAGAAGGCUAGAUUAGCCAGCUGUUGGAUAUGCUGGUUUAAGCGAGUAGGUUGAGGACUUAGGCAAAUCCGGGUCCUUAAGACUGAGACGUGAUGACGAUUUCCAUUCUAUGGAGAGAAGUAAUUGAUGCCCUGCUUCCAGGAAAACCCUCUAAGCUUCAGGUUAUGAAGAACCGUACCCCAAACCGACACAGGUGGGUGGGGUGAGAAUCCCAAGGCGCUUGAGAGAACUCUGGUGAAGGAACUCGGCAAAAUGACACCGUAACUUCGGGAGAAGGUGUGCCACCGUUAGGUGAAAGUCCUUGCGACUGGAGCUGAAGGUGGUUGCAAUAAAGAGGUGGCUGCGACUGUUUACUAAAAACAUAGCACUCUGCAAACUCGUAAGAGGAAGUAUAGGGUGUGACGCCUGCCCGGUGCCGGAAGGUUAAUUGAUGGGGUUAGCAUUAGCGAAGCUCUUGAUCGAAGCCCCGGUGAACGGCGGCCGUAACUAUAACGGUCCUAAGGUAGCGNNNNNCUGACUUUAACUAUAACGGUCCUAAGGUAGCGAAAUUCCUUGUCGGGUAAGUUCCGACCUGCACGAAUGGCGUAACGAUGGCCACACUGUCUCCACCAGGGACUCAGUGAAAUUGAACUUGCUGUGAAGAUGCAGUGUACCCGCGGCUAGACGGAAAGACCCCGUGCACCUUUACUAUAGCUUCACACUGGACUUUGAAUAAGUAUGUGCAGGAUAGGUGGAAGGCUUUGAAGCGGAAACGCCAGUUUCUGUGGAGCCACCCUUGAGAUACCACCCUUACUUGUUUGAGGCCCUAACUGAGGUCCAUUAUCUGGAUCCAGGACCGUGUGUGGUGGGUAGUUUGACUGGGGCGGUCUCCUCCCAAAUUGUAACGGAGGAGCGCGAAGGUACUCUAAUUACGGUCGGAAAUCGUAAGGUUAGUGCAAAGGCAUAAGAGUGCUUGACUGCGAGACAGACACGUCGAGCAGGAACGAAAGUUGGUCUUAGUGAUCCGGUGGUUCUGUAUGGAAGGGCCAUCGCUCAACGGAUAAAAGGUACGCCGGGGAUAACAGGCUGAUACCCCCCAAGAGUUCAUAUCGACGGGGGUGUUUGGCACCUCGAUGUCGGCUCAUCACAUCCUGGGGCUGUAGCCGGUCCCAAGGGUAUGGCUGUUCGCCAUUUAAAGUGGUACGCGAGCUGGGUUUAGAACGUCGUGAGACAGUUUGGUCCCUAUCUGCCGUGGGCGUCGGAGACUUGAGAGGAGCUGCUCCUAGUACGAGAGGACCGGAGUGGACGUACCCCUGGUGUUCCAGUUAUCGUGCCAACGGUAUUGCUGGGUAGCUAUGUACGGACGGGAUAACCGCUGAAAGCAUCUAAGCGGGAAGCCCCCCUCAAGAUAAGGUCUCCCGGGAUUUAAGUCCCCUGAAGGGUCGUUGAAGACUACAACGUUGAUAGGCCAGGUGUGGAAGCUCAGUAAUGGGUGAAGCUAACUGGUACUAAUUGCCCGUGUGGCUUGAUCAU
This 2924-nucleotide ribosomal RNA is filed under the name uncultured bacterium HERMI11. RNAcentral's name for it is "bacterial LSU rRNA". It matches the Rfam family "Bacterial large subunit ribosomal RNA". The record is from RNAcentral.